GGUGCAAUAAAAGCCAAAAAGGGGAAUCCACCUAUAAUGCUAGCAGUCCAAGAGGGCUUUUGGACCUUUCAACAGUGUUAUUCAGGAAUCGUAUUAUAUUCAUUGGGCAACCAGUCAAUUCACAGGUUGCUCAAAGAGUUAUAUCACAGCUUGUGACUUUGGCAGCUAUCGAUGAGGAUGCAUAUAUUCUGGUAUUAUCAUAUUUUUACUAAUUGUCUCAACUUCUCUAUUUUUUUCUUUUGGUGCAUAGAGCUUUAAAUCCAUAAUUUUGGAACCUGUUCACAUUUUACAACUUUAACGUGUACCUUGUCAAGUGUAUUUGAACUGCCCUGAUGGAAGUAGCGAUUCUGUCUUGUUAAUUUAUGAUUGCAUGUUUUGGGUGAGAUUUUAAACUCUGUUGGGCCCAUUCUUUUGUAUUUUUUUCCUUGUUACUGCAUGCUAUGACAUUUUAAUACAUAUUCUGAUGAAAACAAUGCUGCAUGCUUUAUUUGAACUUCUUAUUUUACUAGCAUGAAUUGGUCAUUAUUUCAAAUAAAGCCAAAGGUUGGCAUAGUUUCUUUUGGAGUAGUUGCAAGCCAAUGAGCACUUCUUCUUGCUGGUGGAGAGAAGGGGAUGCCUUAUGCAAUGCCAAAUGCAUGCAUUAUGAUACACCAACCACAAAGUGGAUUUGAGGGUCAUGUUGAAGAUGUCAGACGUCAAGUGAAUGAAGCAGUUUAAUCUCACCAUAAUUUUGACAAAAUGUAUGCGGCUUUCACUGGCUAACCUUUGGAAAGAGUGCAAUAAUACACAGAAAGGAAUCACUUCUUAUUUAUUUCUGAGGUAAUGUUGCUUUUUGAUUUUGUUAAAAACGAGGUAAUGGUUCUCAGCAUCAAUGUUUGCUGAAAACAUCUUGCCUAACGCGUAUCCCUCUUCUCUUUCUUCUUGCUUACCUAUAGGUAGGAGGUAAGGAGAGUGACAAUAGAGUUUAAAUUGAUUUUCCCUUUUAAGGGCCUAUAGAGUGAUAUCUUUGUGUUUUAAAUGUCACGGCAUUAAACGGUUUCAACAUAUUGAAAGAAAAGACUAACAGGUUUUCUAUCUUCCUAUUGGUUCUUUAAUUCUCUCACAAGGCUACGGAGUUUGGGCUCAUUGAUGGUGUAUUGGAAACAGAAUAUUAAACUCAUAUUGAACUUUACAAAGUCCUUUGCUGCUAAGCUUUACGUCAUUACGAACCUUGAUGUACUAUAGCUUAAUUUCAUAGUUAUUGGUAGUUGUAAUUAUGUUUUGAAUUGGUGUUUGUAAAUUUACACGCAAAUUAUUUGAAAUUAUGAUGUAGUCAUUUAAAGGUUGAUAGCUUUAGAAUGAUGUUCACUGUAAUACUUUGAA
This is a non-coding RNA of Durio zibethinus, 1362 nucleotides long. The record is from RefSeq and is a predicted model, not a curated record. NCBI's taxonomy places the organism in Eukaryota, Viridiplantae, Streptophyta, Magnoliopsida, Malvales, Malvaceae.